AGCUGUUUCAUUAAUUACAGCAGAAUUAAUUAUUAGUGGUUGAGAAUCAGGAUAUUAAUCCUCUAAGUUCUCAGUGUUGGUGUAUUCACUGGAAACAUCAGCAGGCUUCCAGAGGUGCAGAUAUUCAAGUGAAAAUUCCACUUCCCUGGAUGCUGUGGCAUGCUCAGGUUAAUUUUACUCAGGAAUAAACACAAAUGUGUUUACCUGUGAAUGAAACGGAGGUCAAAAACAUCAGAUGACAUCAAGCUUAAAAUCCAAGCAGGACAGAGAAGGUAAGCCAGUCCCAGCACCUGGAAGAAGGCUCCCCCACUGCCAUUCCACGUGCCUAGGGCAGAGAAGGUGAGCCGAGUGGGAGCCAGAAGCAACUCCCGCCCCCGUGGAAAUGAGAAGACAUGUAAAUAAGCCUCAAAAACAGACUUCCAGAUCACUUACAGCAACCCCAAAGGGAAGCAAGAUAGAAUAAUCUGAUACUCAACCACCUAUACUUUCUGAAUGGCAACAAAAGAGGAUCUGGGAAAAAUGAAAACAGAAACAAUUACUCAGAUAACAGCAAAGAUUGUGCUCAUGGUGCAAGAUAUGAUUAAUAAAUCUAGAGAGGACACAGAUUAAAAAAAUAGAGGAUCUGAGGAACAUGAUGGAAUCCUAACAUAGGAAACAAAUGGAAUCCAUAAAGCAGAUGCAAACAGAUUUCCAGGAGAUUAAAAACUCCAUCGAAAAUCUGUGCAGAAUGAACCUAUGUGAGGAUAGAAUUUCACAUAUAGAAGAUAAUAUUGCAAUUAGUGAGCAGAAAAAGAAAAAUUGCUUUAAAAUUGUAAGGGAACAUGAGAAAUCAAUCCAGCAGCUGCUUGACGAUGCAAAGAAGAAUAACAUAAGACUGAUUGGAGUCAAUGAAGGAACAGGAGAGAGUGCAGAUGACAUAAAAAUACUGUUCACAGAAGUGAUGGCAGAAAACUUCCCAAGCUGGGGAAAAGAACUUGACAUACAGAUAAGUGAGGCAUAUAGGACUUCAGCUAGCCUUAAUCAAAAAAAAAUCUACACGUAGGCAUAUAAUAGUUAGGAUUCCAGAAAUCCAACAGAAGAACAAAAUUCUACAAGCAGUCAGAGAAAAGAAACAAAUCACAGACAAAGGAAAGCCCAUCAGAAUCACAGCAGACUUCUGAAUGCAACCCUUCAAGGCAAGAAAAUCUUGGAGUGAUGUAUUUCAAGCCCUAAAGGAAAACAGCCUCCAACCCAGAUUGAUGUACCCUGCAAAACUAUCUUUCAAAAUUGAUGGAGAAAUAAGAUACUUUCAUGAUAAAGAGCACCUCAGGAACUUCAUGAACACCAAACCAGCACUCCAAACAAUUUUAGACAAUAUCCUAGGAAAAGACAAUGAGGAUCACAACCCCAGGAAGCCCAGCAGAAUGAAUCCAUUGGGCGUGACAAAUUAAACCCAAAGGGGGAGACUCCAGCAAAAAGAAAAAGUCAUGAUAAGGCUUUUAAAACUUGUAACUUCAUCUCCCUAAUGAAUGUAUAAUUCAAUCUUGUUAUUGUACUGAUUAGUAUUUUUCUGAUUCUAGAGCUGCACACCUUUCUUUGUGCUGUACUGGAU
This is a long non-coding RNA of Heterocephalus glaber (naked mole-rat), 1591 nucleotides long. The record is from Ensembl. NCBI's taxonomy places the organism in Eukaryota, Metazoa, Chordata, Mammalia, Rodentia, Bathyergidae.